UGAAAUAUAGCUCAGUGGUAGAGCACUUGUCUAGCACGUGAAAGGCCCUAAGUUUGAUUCCUUGCAUUGCAA
This 72-nucleotide transfer RNA is filed under the name Dipodomys ordii (Ord's kangaroo rat). It matches the Rfam family "tRNA". From Rfam's summary of the family: Transfer RNA (tRNA) molecules are approximately 80 nucleotides in length. The record is from Rfam by way of RNAcentral. Lineage: Eukaryota; Metazoa; Chordata; Mammalia; Rodentia; Heteromyidae.